AGCGGCCGUCGGUGCAGAUCU
RNAcentral lists this small nuclear RNA (21 nucleotides) under Arabidopsis thaliana (thale cress). RNAcentral describes it as "snRNA_17290". The record is from RNAcentral. Lineage: Eukaryota; Viridiplantae; Streptophyta; Magnoliopsida; Brassicales; Brassicaceae.